Molecule: transfer RNA, 78 nt
Filed under: Planctomycetales bacterium
Lineage: Bacteria; Pseudomonadati; Planctomycetota; Planctomycetia; Planctomycetales
Description: tRNA-Asn
Rfam family: tRNA
About the family: Transfer RNA (tRNA) molecules are approximately 80 nucleotides in length. Their secondary structure includes four short double-helical elements and three loops (D, anti-codon, and T loops).
Source: RNAcentral
UGGUACAUAGCAAUCUAGGAGAUCGCGUUCGGCUGUUAACCGAAAUUAAGGUUGGUUCGAAUCCAACUGUACCAGCCA